CCCUUAGAUGUUCUGGGCCGCACGCGCGCUACACUGAUGCAUUCAACGAGUUUCCUGGACCGAGAGGUCUGGGCAAUCUUUUUAAUGUGCAUCGUGAUAGGGAUAGAUUCUUGCAAUUAUUAAUCUUGAACGAGGAAUUCCUAGUAAACGCAGAUCAUCAAUCUGCAUUGAUUACGUCCCUGCCCUUUGUACACACCGCCCGUCGCACCUACCGAUUGAAUGGUCCGGUGAAGCCUCGGGAUUGUGACUGGCUCUACCACGUUGCGAGAACUUGUCUAAACCUUAUCAUUUAGAGGAAGGUGAAGUCGUAACA
This 313-nucleotide ribosomal RNA is filed under the name uncultured eukaryote. RNAcentral's name for it is "partial 18S ribosomal RNA". It matches the Rfam family "Eukaryotic small subunit ribosomal RNA", at positions 1470 to 1796 of the family's 1831-position model. The record is from RNAcentral.